RNAcentral lists this ribosomal RNA (253 nucleotides) under uncultured bacterium. RNAcentral describes it as "partial 16S ribosomal RNA". It matches the Rfam family "Bacterial small subunit ribosomal RNA", at positions 524 to 776 of the family's 1533-position model. The record is from RNAcentral.
UACGUAGGAUGCAAGCGUUGUCCGGAAUUAUUGGGCGUAAAGAGUUCGUAGGCGGUUUAUUAAGUCAGAGGUUAAAGACCGAGGCUCAACCUCGGGAGUGCCUUUGAUACUGGUAGGCUGGAGUACGGCAGAGGAAAGUGGAAUUCCAAGUGUAGCGGUGAAAUGCGUAGAUAUUUGGAGGAACACCAGUGGCGAAAGCGACUUUCUGGGCCGUUACUGACGCUGAGGAACGAAAGCGUGGGGAGCAAACAGG